GGGGUCGCCUGGUAUUGACAGCGAGUUGAGGCAAUACGUAUAAGCAUGUCGGGACGUGAGCGUCAGUCCUGUUAAAAACACGUUCAAAAUUUAGCUGGCGAAAAUAGCUACGCUAUGGCUGCUUAAUUCGAAGUAAUUAAGUAAUUGCCAUCGUUCCUCCAACCUCUGCUCUGUGGGUUGGGUUCAGGAGCGUCGAAAUGCAGAGCUGGCUUGGUAAAUGGUGUUGAUACCGAGCGAGAUAAAAUACCUAAGGUGCUGAUGUAGGUCUGGUUUGAACCUUGCCAACGCUCGAAAAUCCAAUCAAACCUAAGCAUGUAGAAGGCGUACGGUUUCCUUGUUCUGGACGCGGGUUCGAAUCCCGCCGACUCCACAA
RNAcentral lists this transfer-messenger RNA (373 nucleotides) under Runella slithyformis. It matches the Rfam family "transfer-messenger RNA". Rfam says of the family: Bacterial tmRNA, also known as 10Sa RNA or SsrA, is named for its dual tRNA and mRNA-like properties. Its role is to liberate the mRNA from a stalled ribosome. RNAcentral also lists the same sequence under 3 other names. The record is from RNAcentral. Lineage: Bacteria; Pseudomonadati; Bacteroidota; Cytophagia; Cytophagales; Spirosomataceae.